AUUUGACGUUAGCUGCAGAAGAAGCACCGGCUAACUCCGUGCCAGCAGCCGCGGUAAUACGGAGGGUGCGAGCGUUUAAUCGGAAUUACUGGGCGUAAAGCGCAUGCAGGUGGUUUGUUAAGUCAGAUGUGAAAAGCCCGGGGCUCAACCUCGGAAUUGCAUUUGAAACUGGCAAACUAGAGUACUGUAGAGGGGGUAGAAUUUCAGGUGUAGCGGUGAAAUGCGUAGAGAUCUGAAGGAAUACCGGUGGCGAAGGCGGCCCCCUGGACAGAUACUGACACUCAGAUGCGAAAGCGUGGGGAGCAAACAGGAUUAGAUACCCUGGUAG
This 328-nucleotide ribosomal RNA is filed under the name uncultured bacterium. Its description in RNAcentral is "bacterial SSU rRNA". It matches the Rfam family "Bacterial small subunit ribosomal RNA", at positions 467 to 793 of the family's 1533-position model. The record is from RNAcentral.